AAUGAACUCUCUCAAGUAUUUUCGUGUGGGGCAUUGUGAGGAAGCACGCUUCAAGCAGUUUCAAGUUAAGUUUUUUCACUGGUGACACUGAUUUGAAGCAACUCAUCUUGUAACUUUAACAAAUUAUUUCUAAAAUUGACUUUGAUAUAAUAGUUUUGUCAUAUGGAGUUGGAAAACAGAUGAAAACAGAAGAGAAAGCAUACACUGAUGGCUGAAAUAUCAGUUCUUACACUGAUUUGCACAGACAGUCUUCUGUUACUCAUUCAUGCUAAGAAACAGAAUUUGGAUUUCUUGCUGCCUGGGAAACACAAAACUUUCACUACUAAUCAGAAGGUACAUAAAAUCUUUGUUUCUUAAGUUCAGUCAGGAUCCAGUUGGGGUUUUCAUAUGAUAAACAUGUUGACUUGCUUAGGUGGACUUCCAAACUCUUGAAACACUUUAUAGAAAAAGAGGGAGAUGUAGCAUAACAGUAGUAUGAAUAAGGGGGGAAUUGAUCUGUAUUUGAGAAGGGUAUCUUUAGUUAAGGUCAUUUUGGGGUGGUUGUACUCUUUUCAUUAAGUUUUGUUGGACGCCUCAGUACACUACUUAUAUAAACUAUAACUGUUCUACUUAGGAUAAUUUCCACAUACAAACAGCGCUUUGAAGAUGUGGUGGCUUACGACAAACAAGAACAAGAUGCUUACUUGGUAUAAAUAACACAAACAACAUGGCUCAGAGCAUAAAAGAGAGUGACAGCUGUGUGAUUAGUAGCCAUAUAACAAGAAAUGUCUAUGAGUAGCUGGGGAAUAGCCUUAUGUGGCUGGUGCCAACCUCAUAUAUGUAAGUAAUUAACAAGAAUCUCUUGUUUGACACAAAUUCAAAUGACAAAAGUUAAAAUUUAAAAAUUCUUAUGUGACAUUUGUUUUGAUAAAUGAUGACUUCCAACCCAUCAGUUGGGUAUGUUCAGAUUUAUAGGGUAUAUGUAAGAACUGUGGUAUUUAAUUUCAUCAUACUUAUGUAAAAGAACUGAAGGUUGUUUUUUCUAGUGGUCUGUAUUGACAUAAAACUGUCCAACAAAAAUACAUGUUUUUACCUUUGUAAACAUCAAAUCUUCAAUACCACAUGAUCAUGACAUGUAUCAGAUUGCCAAAGACACAUCAAAUGUAGGAAAUAAAAAAUGCAUUAGAUAUGUUCA
Molecule: long non-coding RNA, 1174 nt
Filed under: Coturnix japonica (Japanese quail)
Lineage: Eukaryota; Metazoa; Chordata; Aves; Galliformes; Phasianidae
Description: lncRNA (ENSCJPG00005007124.1)
Source: RNAcentral